GCAUCUAUAGCUCAGUGGCAGAGCGGUGGGGCGUUUACCCAUGCAAGCGACUCGAGUUCGAUCCCCGGUUGAUGCA
Phthorimaea operculella (potato tuberworm) is the source of this 76-nucleotide non-coding RNA. Lineage: Eukaryota; Metazoa; Arthropoda; Insecta; Lepidoptera; Gelechiidae. The record is from the annotation of a GenBank genome assembly.